This 194-nucleotide ribosomal RNA is filed under the name uncultured bacterium. RNAcentral's name for it is "partial 16S ribosomal RNA". It matches the Rfam family "Bacterial small subunit ribosomal RNA", at positions 1300 to 1500 of the family's 1533-position model. The record is from RNAcentral.
GCAGGCUGGAACUCGCCUGCAUGAAGUUGGAUUCGCUAGUAAUCGCGCAUCAGCCAUGGCGCGGUGAAUACGUUCCCGGGCCUUGUACACACCGCCCGUCAAGCCAUGAAAUCGGGGGGUGCUUGAAGUACGCUUACCGCAAGGGGCGUCCUAAGGCAAAACCGAUAAUUGGGGCUAAGUCGUAACAAGGUAGC